This 253-nucleotide ribosomal RNA is filed under the name uncultured bacterium. Its description in RNAcentral is "partial 16S ribosomal RNA". It matches the Rfam family "Bacterial small subunit ribosomal RNA", at positions 524 to 776 of the family's 1533-position model. The record is from RNAcentral.
UACGUAGGGGGCUAGCGUUGUCCGGAAUCAUUGGGCGUAAAGAGCGCGUAGGCGGCUAGAUAAGUCCGGUGUGAAAGUCACAGGCUCAACCUGUGAAUGCCGCUGGAAACUGUCUGGCUAGAGUCCGGAAGGGGCGAGUGGAAUUCCUGGUGUAGCGGUGAAAUGCGCAGAUAUCAGGAGGAACACCAAUGGCGAAGGCAGCUCGCUGGGACGGUACUGACGCUGAGGAGCGAAAGCAUGGGGAGCGAACAGG